GGAAGGAUCAUUACCGAGUGAGGGCCCUCUGGGUCCAACCUCCCACCCGUGUUUAUUUUACCUUGUUGCUUCGGCGGGCCCGCCUUAACUGGCCGCCGGGGGGCUUACGCCCCCGGGCCCGCGCCCGCCGAAGACACCCUCGAACUCUGUCUGAAGAUUGUAGUCUGAGUGAAAAUAUAAAUUAUUUAAAACUUUCAACAACGGAUCUCUUGGUUCCGGCAUCGAUGAAGAACGCAGCGAAAUGCGAUACGUAAUGUGAAUUGCAAAUUCAGUGAAUCAUCGAGUCUUUGAACGCACAUUGCGCCCCCUGGUAUUCCGGGGGGCAUGCCUGUCCGAGCGUCAUUGCUGCCCUCAAGCACGGCUUGUGUGUUGGGCCCCGUCCUCCGAUCCCGGGGGACGGGCCCGAAAGGCAGCGGCGGCACCGCGUCCGGUCCUCGAGCGUAUGGGGCUUUGUCACCCGCUCUGUAGGCCCGGCCGGCGCUUGCCGAUCAACCCAAAUUUUUAUCCAGGUUGACCUCGGAUCAGGU
This 527-nucleotide ribosomal RNA is filed under the name Penicillium chrysogenum. RNAcentral describes it as "eukaryotic LSU rRNA". The stretch from base 190 to 342 matches the Rfam family "5.8S ribosomal RNA". The record is from RNAcentral. Lineage: Eukaryota; Fungi; Ascomycota; Eurotiomycetes; Eurotiales; Aspergillaceae.